UACGGAGGGUGCAAGCGUUAAUCGGAAUUACUGGGCGUAAAGCGCACGUAGGUGGUUUGCUAAGUCAGCUGUGAAAUCCCCGGGCUCAACCUGGGCACUGCAGUUGAAACUGGCAAGCUAGAGUAAGGUAGAGGGGUGUGGAAUUCCAGGUGUAGCGGUGAAAUGCGUAGAUAUCUGGAGGAACAUCAGUGGCGAAGGCGACACCCUGGACUCAUACUGACACUGAGGUGCGAAAGCGUGGGGAGCAAACAGG
Molecule: ribosomal RNA, 253 nt
Filed under: uncultured bacterium
Lineage: Bacteria
Description: partial 16S ribosomal RNA
Rfam family: Bacterial small subunit ribosomal RNA
Source: RNAcentral